GACGAACGCUGGCGGCGUGCCUAAUACAUGCAAGUCGAACGCUGAAGGAGGAGCUUGCUCUUCUGGAUGAGUUGCGAACGGGUGAGUAACGCGUAGGUAACCUGCCUGGUAGCGGGGGAUAACUAUUGGAAACGAUAGCUAAUACCGCAUAACAGUAGAUGUUGCAUGACAUUUGCUUAAAAGGUGCAAUUGCACCACUACCAGAUGGACCUGCGUUGUAUUAGCUAGUUGGUGGGGUAACGGCUCACCAAGGCGACGAUACAUAGCCGACCGGAGAGGGGGAUCGGCCACACUGGGACUGAGACACGGCCCAGACUCCUACGGGAGGCAGCAGUAGGGAAUCGUCGGCAAUGGACGGAAGUCUGACCGAGCAACGCCGCGUGAGGGAAGAAGGUUUUCGGAUCGUAAAGCUCGGUUGUAAGAGAAGAACGAGUGUGAGAGUGGAAAGUUCACACUGUGACGGUAUCUUACCAGAAAGGGACGGCUAACUACGUG
Molecule: ribosomal RNA, 495 nt
Filed under: uncultured bacterium
Lineage: Bacteria
Description: partial 16S ribosomal RNA
Rfam family: Bacterial small subunit ribosomal RNA
Source: RNAcentral